AUACGUAGGUGGCAAGCGUUGUCCGGAAUUACUGGGUGUAAAGGGCGUGUAGGCGGGGUAUUAAGUCAGAUGUGAAAUUCCAGGGCUCAACUCUGGAGCUGCAUCUGAAACUAAAACUCUUGAGUGCUGGAGAGGAAAGCGGAAUUCCUAGUGUAGCGGUGAAAUGCGUAGAUAUUAGGAGGAACACCAGUGGCGAAGGCGGCUUUCUGGACAGUAACUGACGCUGAGGCGCGAAAGCGUGGGGAGCAAACAGGAUUAGAUACCCUGGUAGUCCACGCUGUAAACGAUGGAUACUAGGUGUAGGAGGUAUCGACCCCUUCUGUGCCGGAGUUAACACAAUAAGUAUCCCACCUGGGGAGUACGGCCGCAAGGUUGA
RNAcentral lists this ribosomal RNA (376 nucleotides) under uncultured bacterium. Its description in RNAcentral is "bacterial SSU rRNA". It matches the Rfam family "Bacterial small subunit ribosomal RNA", at positions 523 to 897 of the family's 1533-position model. The record is from RNAcentral.